This 467-nucleotide ribosomal RNA is filed under the name uncultured bacterium. Its description in RNAcentral is "bacterial SSU rRNA". It matches the Rfam family "Bacterial small subunit ribosomal RNA", at positions 335 to 801 of the family's 1533-position model. The record is from RNAcentral.
ACUCCUACGGGAGGCAGCAGUAGGGAAUAUUGGUCAAUGGGCGAGAGCCUGAACCAGCCAUGCCGCGUGCAGGAAGACGGCCUUCUGGGUUGUAAACUGCUUUUAUCAGGGAACAAAAGGCCAUGCGUGGCAAAUUGCGUGUACCUGAAGAAUAAGGACCGGCUAACUCCGUGCCAGCAGCCGCGGUAAUACGGAGGGUCCAAGCGUUGUCCGGAUUUAUUGGGUUUAAAGGGUGCGUAGGCGGCCCUAUAAGUCAGUGGUGAAAUCCUUCAGCUCAACUGGAGAACUGCCAUUGAUACUGUAGGGCUUGAGUACAGACGAGGUAGGCGGAAUUUAUGGUGUAGCGGUGAAAUGCAUAGAUACCAUAAAGAACACCUAUUGCGAAGGCAGCUUACUAGACUGUAACUGACGCUGAGGCACGAAAGCGUGGGGAGCGAACAGGAUUAGAUACCCUGGUAGGCUCUGCU